UAUUAGUGCAGGAAGUGUCGGAAGUGUCCUCAUUGGAUACGGAUAAUCGGUGAAUCAUUGGCCGCUGUAUCCGAGGCUGUGCCAUGUAAAGAUGAUAUCGGAACCUGUUCAGCAAUGAGAAAGCCACAACCCACUCCACUAUGAUGUCGCAUCAACUAUCAUCUGGUGACCGAAUCAGCCGAUCAGGUCAAAGAAGAAUUCUCUGAUAUGGAUCAAGGAUCCGUUCACCCAGCACCCUCUCUCGAAAGAGCAAAUGCGGUACUGAUACCGACUGCUGCAAGACGUUCUGAAAGACAGUAAGCUGGGCCUCGAAGGUGAUGAUCGAACUACUGCGAAUAUACACGGAAGAGAUUGCAUCAUAUGAGCGCAAAGAUGCCAUGAAGUGUCCUUCCCAAGCUAUUCUGGUCGCUGCAGAUUGUGUGCGGUUCAUGACAUGAAAUUCGCCAUAUCACCGGGUGAGUCAUGUUAAAAUUUGUAUUAAAUCUUGAUAUCGUUGAAAUCAUACUUUUGUUCAUAUUAGCAUGGACUGAUUCACGGACAUAACAUCAAAAGGAUGCUCCUAAAUAUCUAUCAUGUAGUUGGCGGAGAUUAAUCUGAAGAUGACGCAGGACCAGAAGACUCGCAGUGUGGAUGCACCAGAAGAAGUUCGGUCGCCCUCAGUGAAUAGUUGUGCUUAUUGCUGUUCUCGGGGAAAAGCAUCCUGAGACUAGUUUAGGAAAAUAUCAACGGUUUUGUGUGAUACUGGCAAAACACUUUUUUUAAAUUUUUGAUAUUUUCAUGGUAGAGUACAGAAAAUGGUAUUUAGUUUUAGCUGUUAAUAAUAAUUGCAUCUCACAAGAAAUGUGGUAUUUUUCUGUGGUAAUAAAAUUAAUUGUAGAACAUUAAAUUGUAUUGUAUUGCAACUGUAAUACUGAGGUGAAAUUAAUUGUAAAGCCUAUUGUACUUCUAUGGGAAAACAAUAAAAAAGUAGGGAAUAACAUUUAAAACACA
Molecule: long non-coding RNA, 990 nt
Organism: Armigeres subalbatus
Lineage: Eukaryota; Metazoa; Arthropoda; Insecta; Diptera; Culicidae
Exons: 2
Source: RefSeq, a predicted model, not a curated record